CCUACGGGGGGCUGCAGUGGGGAAUAUUGGACAAUGGGGGCAACCCUGAUCCAGCCAUGCCGCGUGUGUGAAGAAGGCCCUCGGGUUGUAAAGCACUUUCAGUGAGGAAGAACGCCUGGUGGUUAAUACCCAUCAGGAAAGACAUCACUCACAGAAGAAGCACCGGCUAACUCCGUGCCAGCAGCCGCGGUAAUACGGAGGGUGCGAGCGUUAAUCGGAAUUACUGGGCGUAAAGCGCGCGUAGGUGGCUUGAUAAGCCGGUUGUGAAAGCCCCGGGCUCAACCUGGGAACGGCAGCCGGGACUGGCGAGGUAGAGGGGAGGGGAGGAAGGGAGGGGGCGCGGGGGAGGGGGGAGAGGCGGAGGGGGGGGGCGGGGUGGGAGGGGGGGAGGGGGCCUUGGGGACUGAGGGUGCGAGUGGGGUGCGGAGGGGUGGGUGGCGGAGGGGGGGGGAGAGGGGGGGAGGG
This 465-nucleotide ribosomal RNA is filed under the name Vreelandella stevensii. Its description in RNAcentral is "partial 16S ribosomal RNA". The stretch from base 1 to 216 matches the Rfam family "Bacterial small subunit ribosomal RNA", at positions 338 to 546 of the family's 1533-position model. The record is from RNAcentral. Lineage: Bacteria; Pseudomonadati; Pseudomonadota; Gammaproteobacteria; Oceanospirillales; Halomonadaceae.